This is a long non-coding RNA of Sciurus carolinensis (gray squirrel), 1415 nucleotides long. RefSeq lists it as uncharacterized. The transcript has 4 exons. Lineage: Eukaryota; Metazoa; Chordata; Mammalia; Rodentia; Sciuridae. The record is from RefSeq and is a predicted model, not a curated record.
UCGACCUUCCCGUGCUCAAAUACUUUGGGGUUCGCGACCUUGGUGCGCCCGGGACGCGUCCUGGAGCUUAAGUAGGGCUCCAAGUCCCCGGGGCUGCCUGCAAAGCCGCGCCUGAGGAGCGACCUCUUUCUUCCUCCCUCAGGCUCCCUGGACAUUCCAGGAGGACUCCUGGAGGCCGAGAUGCGCCUGCGAAAUGUCCUGCUAAGAAGGCGCUUUGUUCGCAGUACUCUCUCGGGAAGGAAAGUGGGUGGGCAUGAAGUUGGGCCUGACGGUCUAGAAAGCGAUUCUAGUCAUCCAGGUCCUUGUCCCAUAGAAAGGGGUGUCGCUGGCUGCUGUUAGUGGAGUCUGCCUUUGGAAAGGUCACUGCUGCACCCAGAGAUUAUCCCAGACCAGCGUCAUGUACCUAGCGGGCCCCAAACGCCUGCAAGAACGUCCAGAUACUGCGUCUCAUGGUUGCAGGCUCCCGGGUCUUUCAACUGUCUUCCUGAUGGUGGGGGGUCCUGCUGUCCUUGCUGCCUCUAGUAAGGAGAAAGUGGGGACCGAUUCCCAUUGGAGUGAGGAGUGCUUUCUCCCAGGUGAAGAGGAAGUGUUUUCUGUCACCCUAGGUGACACCUCUACCAAGUUGUCCUAUGUCCUCCUCCCCCCAAAAGCUGGGGGAGGAUGGGGCUGCUUCCUGAGCAGGGCCUCACCUGGGGACCGUGUGGGCCACCUAUGGAAACCCAGCCUUCAUCGCCAGGCCAGUUCACCUCAGCAACAGCAGCAUCCCAGGGCUGUCUGAUGGAGCUACCUGCCGUGAUGAGUUUGUUCUGCAUAAGUUUGCAUUUAAAUAGCCUUGGGUGUCCAGUGGCUACCAUCCUGGACAAAGCAACUCUCUUGGGAGGAGGGAAGGAGUUCCCAGGAUGUCGAUGGAGGGGCACAGGUCCCCUCCUGCAGGGCUUCUCCAAGGAGCCAGGAUGGAUCCAGACCUUGACGCCUGCUUGGAGCCAGCCUCAGAGCUGAGAGGGUCUCACUAAAUCAUCCAGGUUGGUCUUGAACACUCGAUCCUCCUGCCUUGGCCUUAUGCGGUUGAGCUGGUGGGCUGCUGGGCAGGGUGCUUCAGGUGCGGACCCCGAGAGGAGACCCAUAUGCUGUUGCAGCCGAUCCUCUAGCAAGCCUCCAGGUACCCAGGGGGCUGUGGCAGCUCCUGCCACUGUGUCCUCAUUCAACCCCAGUGCCAGGCCUGGGGACCCUCCCAUUGCCCCACUGCAGUAGGGACGGAAAGUAGAACCACUGGAAUUACAGGUGUGUGCCGCUGCACCUGGUUCCUUUCAGUUCAGGAGAGCCCGGAGGAUGAGCCAGGAAGGCAGCCUCGCCGGGUGCCAGCACCUGUCUUUGUCUUCUAGCCUCCAGAACUAUAAAAAUAAAUGUCUGUCGUU